This 453-nucleotide long non-coding RNA is filed under the name Homo sapiens (human). Its description in RNAcentral is "HSALNT0372914". The record is from RNAcentral. Lineage: Eukaryota; Metazoa; Chordata; Mammalia; Primates; Hominidae.
GUGAUCCUCAUGCCUCAGCCUCCUGAGUAACUGGGAUUACAGCUUCUAGAGGCUACCCACAUUCCUGGGCUAAUGGCCCCUUCCUACAUCUUCAAAGCCAGCAGUGGUGGGCUGAGUCUUUCUCCUGGUAUCAUCUCUUCAUUCUCUAUCUCCCUCUCCCAAUUUUAAGGACCUCUGUGAUUAUAUUGGGCACCUGGAUAUUGCAGGAUACGCUCUCUAUUUUAAGGCUAUGCUCCGUAAAGAGAGUGCCUCCUCUAGAAUCACAAGACCUAAGCAUGAAUCUUCCUUUGAAGGAUAAAAUGGAAGGAAAAAAACUGGAUGAGGAAAAGAAGAGUGGGGAAUAGAAAGAGAGAGAGAGAGAAAGAUGGAUAAAUUUUUAAAGUUACUAUAAUAAAAAUCUUCUACAACGAAACUAUAAUUGUUGAUCAGCAAAUGUGAACUAAUCCUCCUCCU